This 483-nucleotide long non-coding RNA is filed under the name Phoenix dactylifera (date palm). RNAcentral describes it as "long non-coding RNA (PDAC_LNC007236)". The record is from RNAcentral. Lineage: Eukaryota; Viridiplantae; Streptophyta; Magnoliopsida; Arecales; Arecaceae.
UAGGCUUCAUCCCUUGCUAGUCCAUCUAGCAUCAAGCUGCUAGAAAUUUUGUCAUGCCAAGCUAUCAUGCUUUGAACUCAGAGCGUAACAGAUGCCGCAUACCUGUAUAGUGGAUCAUAUAAGCAUGCGAGGCUAUAGAUUAUAUCAAAGCAAUAAUAAUUUCUAAAAAAUUAUUUAAUUAAGAACUUCUCCAAAUGGUUCUUAUAAUAGUUCCAAAGUGACAUAAGUCAACAUGUGCUAACUACAAACAUAACUCAAAUAAAAUAUUCUAAUUGGACUUACUAAAACUCUAAUGACUGAAAGUAUUUUCGAAAGAACUAGCACACUCACCAAGUCCCGAGAAAUUAUGCAUUCAGAUCUAAAAAAUAAAAAAAUAUAAUAAUGAGCUACACUAGCCCAGUAAGCAACAUAAUACCCUACAGUGAGGUCUAAGCAUGCCAAAGUAUAACUUAAAAAAUAAGAUAUUGACUGAAAAUAGAUAAA